AUCCAGGUGACGAGUCCUAAAUAGGACGAAAUGCGCUUUAUCCUGGAU
Molecule: non-coding RNA, 48 nt
Filed under: Trichobilharzia regenti
Lineage: Eukaryota; Metazoa; Platyhelminthes; Trematoda; Strigeidida; Schistosomatidae
Source: RNAcentral